Molecule: long non-coding RNA, 898 nt
Organism: Mesocricetus auratus (golden hamster)
Lineage: Eukaryota; Metazoa; Chordata; Mammalia; Rodentia; Cricetidae
Exons: 3
Source: RefSeq, a predicted model, not a curated record
CUCCUCUCCCAAAGGAACAGAGCUGGCAAAUGGCAGAGCCAAGCUGAGUCUUUUGAAUUCUUUACAGUUCAAUGGGCUUCUUAAUCAAAUAAAGGCAUGCAUGUGGUUUCUUGGUUAAAUCUCCAACUAUGGAGUCAAGUCUGGUGGUACCAACUUUUCAUUCCAGCUACUUGGGAGGCUGAGGCCAGAGAAUCACAAGUUCAAGGUCUGUCUAUGUCAUUGGUGAAUUUAUUCCUGCCUGGGCAACUUUGUGAGAUCCUGUUUCCAAGGAAAAGGUAAAAAUGGAGCUGAGGAUGGAAAGAAGAUUGCCUGCCUUGUGUAAAGCUCUUGGAUCAAGCUCCAUUGCCUCCAAAAACAAACGAAAAUCUCCCAACUAUCUCUAAAGAAAACUUGAAAAUGUUUGGAGGAAUUUAAGAACUGCCAAAAUAAAUAUGUAAUUUCUGGAACACAUAUCAAGGAUAGACUUCAUCUGACGUUUCAGAGUGCCGAAUGUACCAUGGAGAACACUAAGGCAGAAAACUCAUCAGUGGCAUUACCAAACACUGAACUCCACAGAAAAUAAGGAAGAAGAUCGGGGAGAUUGUUCAGCAGUUAAAGUACUUCCAGAGGAUGUGGGUUCAGUUCCCAUCAUCCACCUGGUUUCUUGCUUCCACUCUGCUCUGCUGUGUGCUAGUCACGUCCUGCCGAAUGAUGUCAUCCACUACAAGGCUCUCACCAGUGUUGGCAGUGCAUUUUUGGAUCUUCAGGAUCAUGAGACAAGUAAAUCUUUGUUUUCUCACAUGCUACUGAGUGUUACACAUUCUGCAAGAGCAACACAAAACCAACUGGGCACACUGGCUUUCCUGAAAGUGGGCAGAAUUAUUGCUAUUAUUAAAAUGACACCUUCUGAUUGUUUUAA